GUGGGUUGGACUCUAAGCUUUCGAAGGGCCUGCCCACCUACCUCCUGGAACUCCUUCUGGCGGCAUCCCACCAUCCUUUCUCCGCUGCUCACCCUGGUUUUCUCUUUUCAAGCUUCCACCCUGCCCCCUGCUCCCACGAUCUGUGCUCAGCCUCUCUGGGGCUCCCAGGGUCCAACGGACACAGCCCCCAGCAGGAGCCGAGCAUCUCCCUGGCUGGUAAGAGCCCUACUUAUUGGCAGGGCACCUCCCAGCACCAAGAAAGCCACCCUGCCUUCCUACUCAGGGCCAGCAGUGCCUAAAGAAACCCCUGAGCUGACUUCAGAGGUUGGCCUGAGCUGGGGCUUAAAAAUACAAGUGCCCAUGAACCCCCCAGUGCCAACUGCCCACUCAGCCUGCAGGCGGUGCUGCCCACCACACAGAUGCCGUUGUGGCCACCGUGGGUGGUACCAAGGGAACACCAGGGGGUGGGGAGUCCAGAGAGGCCUGGGGUGGCUGGUGAGGGGGGCGGACAUUCCUUGGAUUCUAGACUGCAGAGCAGGGCUGUUUACGCCAUCUGGCUAUAGCUGGUUCUCCGGACUCCGCAGAGAACUAGGCCAGUUCUGUGCAGACUCACAGAGUCAGGGGCUCUGGAGGUGGACAAGCCUGGAAUCAGAUCCUGGUUUGGUCCCUGAAUUGGCCGUGUGAGUCGGCGCAGAUCACUGGCCCUCUGAGCCUCAGCCACUACAUGUAAAAUAAGGAUAAUAGAAGUACACACCUCCGAGGGCUCUUUAUCACAGAGCCUGACCCAGCAACGGUAGCUGUCUUCCUUGCCACUAUUAUCAUGUGGGGGGCUGCUGGGACUCGAUCAGGGGGCACAGGAGAGAGCCAGGGAUGCGAUGUCCUGGCGUCACCCUGCUGCCCACCUCCGAAACCGCCAAGGACCAGGCACAUCGGGCACCAGUGCAACUGGAAGUGGAGCCCAUUUUCUUGUUGGACAAACAGGCAGAUGGAGGCCCAGAGAGAGCAUGUGCCUGGCUCACGCGAGAGUCAGAACCUAGAAAUCGGAAGCUCGCUCUCUCGGGUGUGAGAGACAGCACCCCUAGAGCUGAGAGGACCC
Molecule: long non-coding RNA, 1096 nt
Filed under: Bos grunniens (domestic yak)
Lineage: Eukaryota; Metazoa; Chordata; Mammalia; Artiodactyla; Bovidae
Description: lncRNA (ENSBGRG00000005386.1)
Source: RNAcentral